Molecule: long non-coding RNA, 589 nt
Organism: Microtus ochrogaster (prairie vole)
Lineage: Eukaryota; Metazoa; Chordata; Mammalia; Rodentia; Cricetidae
Exons: 3
Source: RefSeq, a predicted model, not a curated record
UCUCUGUAUUUCUGUAUUUAAGCAGGUAGAAGGCUGCGAGGAACGACCUGUUUUCCUAAACCAAACUUGUAUGAAGUCACCAUGGGAAUGAAUUGGAAAUUCUAGAAUCUGGCGAUUGCUGGACGUGUUGAUGCUAAAUUCAUUGCCAACAGCAGCGAGCCAAAGGAAAGGGCAAAACAAUUUUUGGGCCACCUACAAGCACCACCAUUCAAAGCCAAUCUCGUUAGCAUUUUAAACAUAUAGCCAAGUAACCUCCAGGGUAUCCCCAGUGCUGGGCUUAUCCUACUUGGUUGAAUAUUUUAUUAAACAAAACAUCAAAUUGUACUGGAAAAAUAAACAGCAUUUAAACUCGGGAUAAAUAAAAGGACACCAAAAUGGCGGCAUGAGAACAGAGGUUCUCAAUGGCAGUACAUACAAAGGAAUAUGCCUAAGUCUGCAGUUGGCUUCGGGAAGAAUCUCCCCACGCUCACUUUCAGUAAUACUCUCACUGACAGAAUUCUCCACCAUUUCUCCUGUGAUAUAAAUCCAAGUCAAUAAAAUCUCUUUUUUGUUGGCACUAAAUGCAACAACUCUUACUCCAAAUGGGACU